AGAACGUUGUCAGAUCUUGGAACGUAUCUCUAUAACAUCCACUGCUUCUCUAUGAGGACAGAAGGUGUAUUGACGUGUUCGGAUGUGGUGGGUACCACCCUCGACCAUUGGUGUCGCGUUGAUGGGCUUCAACACCUUGAACGUAGAAUUGAUGUGAGCUGUGUAUUACCGUGCCGUAUGGUGGGUGUACAUACGACUCCAUCUUCCUUUUCACAAUCCUGCAGAGGGUGCGCUAACGCAUGAAAUGGGCAGCCUAAAGACUACGGUGGCAACACUAAAACUUAAAGGAAUUGACGGGGGCUUACACAAGCGGUGGAGCAUGUGGUUUAAUUCGAUAUAACGCGCAGAACCUUACCAAUCCUUGGAAUAUACAUGGGGGUGCAGGUCUCUGCACGCUCUGAUGGUAUACAGGAGCUGCAUGGCUGUCGUCAGUUCGUGGCGUGAGCUGUCAGGUUAAGUCCUGAAACGAACGCAACCCUUAUUGUAGGAGAGCGCGUGGGUGCGCUACUGCAAGACUGCCAGUGACAUACGGGAGGAAGGUAAGGAUGACGUCAAGUCCUCAUGGCCCUUAUGGGUUGGGCUACACAUGUGCUACACUGGCGACUACAAUGCGAAGCGAUAUGGCAACAUGGAGCUACACGUGAAAGGUCGUCGGGUUCGGAUUGCUCUCUGCAACUCGAGAGCAUGAAGGUGGAAUCGCUAGUAAUCGUAGAUCAGCACGCUACGGUGAACUUGUAUCUAAGCCUUGUACACACCGCCCGUCACAUAAUGGGAGCGGAACAUGUACAAAGCUUAGAAAUGCACUUCUGGAGAUCCUCGGAUCCAGGACAGUGUGCUUCUGGUCACUGCAGGUGCUGUAACUGAUAUGAAGUCGUAACAAGGUAACCGUAGGGGAACCUGUGGUUG
Molecule: ribosomal RNA, 906 nt
Filed under: marine metagenome
Description: bacterial SSU rRNA
Rfam family: Bacterial small subunit ribosomal RNA (bases 255-906)
Source: RNAcentral